CCCAGAGUGAGCGGCAGCCCAGCAGCUUUGGUCUGCCUCAGAGUCUCCCUUCAGUGCUCUAUCAGUCCAGAUGUGACCGAGGAACGGAGCUGCACUGAUCACACCCUGCUGCACCACAGGCUGGGGAAUCCCACGCAGAAAGCCAUUAUCCUAGAAUUAUUCCUGAUGCGCUUUCCACAUUGUUCAUGCUUCAUUACUGAUAGGAGUAAUUCUGAACAGACCUGUGCGGGACCAUCUUUCUUGCCCAGAAAAGCAUGGUGACCAUCGAUUGCCAUAGCGGAGUCCUACAGAAGACAGCUUCCUCCACCCUUCCGCUGAAUGCUGCCUUGCUCCAGUGGGGCUAUUCUUGCUGUUUCUGGGAGUUUUC
RNAcentral lists this long non-coding RNA (367 nucleotides) under Apteryx owenii (little spotted kiwi). RNAcentral's name for it is "lncRNA (ENSAOWG00000003704.1)". Lineage: Eukaryota; Metazoa; Chordata; Aves; Apterygiformes; Apterygidae. The record is from RNAcentral.